UUGAACGCUGGCGGCAUGCUUUACACAUGCAAGUCGAACGGUAGACCCUUUCGGGGGUUGAGAGUGGCGAACGGGUGAGUAAUGCAUCGGAACAUACCCAGUCGUGGGGGAUAACGUAGCGAAAGUUACGCUAAUACCGCAUGAGUCCUGAGGGAGAAAGCGGGGGAUCGCAAGACCUCGCGCGAUAGGAGCGGCCGAUAUCGGAUUAGCUUGUUGGUGAGGUAAAGGCUCACCAAGGCGACGAUCCGUAGCUGGUCUGAGAGGACGACCAGCCACACUGGAACUGAGACACGGUCCAGACUCCUACGGGAGGCAGCAGUGGGGAAUUUUGGACAAUGGGGGCAACCCUGAUCCAGCCAUUCCGCGUGAGUGAAGAAGGCCUUCGGGUUGUAAAGCUCUUUCAGCAGGAACGAAACGGUGGCUACUAAUACUAGCUACUAAUGACGGUACCUGAAGAAGAAGCACCGGCUAACUACGU
RNAcentral lists this ribosomal RNA (478 nucleotides) under uncultured bacterium. RNAcentral describes it as "bacterial SSU rRNA". It matches the Rfam family "Bacterial small subunit ribosomal RNA", at positions 30 to 506 of the family's 1533-position model. The record is from RNAcentral.